This 1424-nucleotide long non-coding RNA is filed under the name Oryzias sinensis (Chinese medaka). RNAcentral's name for it is "lncRNA (ENSOSIG00000008291.1)". Lineage: Eukaryota; Metazoa; Chordata; Actinopteri; Beloniformes; Adrianichthyidae. The record is from RNAcentral.
AUGCACAAUACAAGCCCCUACCAGAACAGGAGUGCCAAAAAACACAGGAGGCUGUGGUUUGCUCACACUAAACACAUUCACGUUUACAGGCUUUAUUUAUUGGAGGUAAAGCAGGGAGCAGCACGGUGCAUCUGUCACGGCCUAAUCCUGGACUCUGAGGACAUGCAGCUGAGUAAUGGUGUAGCUCAGCAGUUGACAGUGUCUGCAUGAAGGCUGCUGCGUCGACCUGCUGAAGAACACACAGGCUGUCCCUGAAGAAGAAGUCAUCUGAGGGCAGAUGUUCCACCACAAACUUUAUAGACUGUUGCCUUUUUUAUUUCCACAUUUUUUUGUACUAUAUCAGAGAUUGAAAGGCCUCUAUUCUUGAGAGACGUUGUGCUUGUGAGUCAUCCCAUCAUGUUACAUUCACAAUAUAACUUCAUUUAUUUACAAGCUAAAGUUUCCCAGCUAUUUCCACCUUUUUUUAAUCUGUCGCUGUGUUUCGACUGUUUUCAGAUUUUUAUCCAAAUUGACAUUUGAAACAAACAUCUUGUAACGUUUUUCAAAAUUGUUGGAUAAAAUGACGUCUAACAUGUUUCAGUUUUAAAUCUAUUAAAAUAGCCAAAAGUACAGUAAAUCUUUUCCCAAUCUCAGAGUCUUACAUUUGUAUGUACAGUUGCAGUAUUGCCAACAAUUAUAAGAAUCAAACAUUUCAGAAGCGAAAGUUUUUUUAGCUUUCUGUUGUUGGCUCUAAAGAAAUGAGCCGUGGAUGCAUGUAGUAAAUGCAACACUAAAGGUUUUACCACAGGUUCCUUCUCUUCAGUUGUUUCUUUGCCUGAUCAAUAAAAGAACAAUAAGCAUGUUUGUAAUGUGAUCAGCGAGUGAAAGAUUUCCCAAAAAUACUCACAUUGGAUUACAACAAAGAAACUUGACUCACGAGACUCAUUUAUGUCAGGAACGCUUAUUUUAAAUUCUUCUCAAUUUUUUUUAGUUGAGGAAGGUUCUAGUUAAUCCAGGGAAGAAUGAAAUUAAUGAAUUAAAGUUGAAUCUUGACAUCUGGACGUUUCACCACUCAUCCAAGUGGCUCCAUCAGUCUCCAUUAGUCAUUAUUAUUCAUUGUGCGCUGAAAUAUUUUUCUUGUGUUGGGUUGUUAUUGGACAGCUAUCAUUGCUGUCCAGCUGAGGUGAAAGAAAGACUCUAACAUUUAGGUUCUGCCUACAGUUUUUAAGGUUUUCAUACAUGCCCCUAAUUACAUGCAUGCUAUGCAGCUCAGAGAGACACUUGGUAUUUGCAUUACAGUAAUGACAGAAAAUGCUCAUUUGUAUUUAUACUUUUAUUUCUGUAAUACUGCCAGGAUGUCAGCUUUUGUGAGGACUGUUUUCAUGUUAGGUCGCACUCAGUCAUGUGUUUCUAAGUUUAGAAAUUCUCCAAACCAAAAAAAAAAG